CGUGCUGUGAGGCACGGGAGAGAGGAAGCAAUAGCGAAAUCGUGGCCCAACGAACAGGAAUAAGGUAGGAAGGCGCUACGAGCGGAUAAGUCGGCUAAAGGCGAUAAAGUCCAAAAGGUAACCGUAAUCUUGUGGCGUAAACCUUAUGGGUAAACGAGGAAAGAGAUAAC
Non-coding RNA from Tetragenococcus muriaticus 3MR10-3, 170 nucleotides. Lineage: Bacteria; Bacillati; Bacillota; Bacilli; Lactobacillales; Enterococcaceae. The record is from Rfam.